AAGUAAAUGAGGAGAAAAACAGUGUGGAUCUGAAGAUCUCCUCUGCUUCAGCAUCAGACUCUGCAAUGUACUACUGUGCCCUGCAGCCCACAGUGACAGGAAACACAUCAACACUGUACAAAAAUGAAGGGGAAAACUCAGCAAAGGUCAAGCAGUUUUAAAUUGUGCUUAAGUAAUUUCUAAUGUGUCUAAUAGCAGUACAGACUCUUUCAAUUCUACAAUGGCAAAAAUGUGUUGAUAAAGAUCUAUAGUGCAGCAACACACUUCUCCUCAUUCUAGUAAUGAUUCAGCUUUGCCUCACUGAUUUUGCAAUUCUUACAGGUAUAUAAAUUUGAUAUUUGCAUAUGUUAAUAUAUCUAGCAUAUCUAUAGUCCUAUAAAAGAUUCAUAUUAAUGAAAAUAUAAAAUGCUGCUGUUGAUAUUUUACUAGCGAGUAUUUUGCAAAUGCAAUAAAAUCCCUCUGAAAAGUGCAAUUUAGUAACUGAAAGGAAUGUUAUUAGCAAAAGCUACAAAAGCAAAUCAUGUUGAUGUGCUGUACUGCAGUGAAGGACCCUGGACUAAAAUACUACAAGGAGACAAAAAACGCUGCAGAGAAAUUCAUUUGACUCUGAAGGUGGAGUUUUGUGUCUCUGGGAUCUUACAAAAGUGGAGGUGUAUCUGAAACAAAGAAACAAACUUCUUGAAUUUGGCAUCCAAUAUAUCAAUCAUUAUGUUCAUCUUCACACUUAUUAGUUUAUGGAUUCAUCUGGGUGACACAGAGGCAAAUGCAAUCAUCCCACUAUUACCUAUUAUGAGCACUGUUGUAGGUGAAAAUGUAACCAUAUCCUAUAGUUACAAAGGAUUCACAGGAAGAGUGCUGAAUGCACAGUGGUACAGACAAUAUCCGAGAUCAAAACCAGUCUUCCGUACCCACAGCUAUUCACACAAAGGUCCAGACUUACCAAUAACCAUAUCAAGAUUUUCUGGCAAAUUUGAUCAGGACCUCCAACAAGUGGAUCUACAGAUCUCAAAAGUUUUUUUGACAGAUUCAGCUGUGUACUACUGUGCACUGCAGCCCACAAUCACAGGAAACUAAGAGUUCCUAUACAAAAACAUACUAUAUUUCAGAUUUAAGGCCUUUCACGUCAUAGUUUUGGAGAUUCUGUUGAUUUCAAAAGCUAACAUGACAUGAUUUGGACUUUGUCCCAAUACUGUAACAAUUUAAAUUGCAGAUAAAUGAUAACCAACUUUUUUUUUCAAAAACCAAUCAGGUAACAACCAACUUCUCCUCAAUUCACCAAUGUCCUUAUGAUACAUUUAAGAUGGAUAUUAUUGAUGCCUUUACUUGCUAGUUUUAAUGUGUUGGUUGGUUUCAAUGUACUGUACAUAAAAAAUACACAACAAAUACAAAAAAAAAAUGACUUUUUGCAGUAGAAGAUUUCAGUUGUGGGAAAUAUCACUUAUAAUUUCUAAGAAUCAACAGAGGGUCCCACAAUCCUUUGGGUGGAGCUUGAUGAGAAUGAGUACAGCAGAAGGCAGUCCUGUGUUUCUCCAAAUCUCAUUUUGCAGAUGAUCUCCCACAGUCAUGAUGAUUUUGUUUUACCUUGUUUUACCGUUCACCUUCUGUCUGUGGACCAUCACUCACCUGCCGUCUGCGAGUUGUUCGCACCGGACACGAGGACGGAGAACUGUUGUUGCUCUUUGAUCUUCUGGCACUGGAUUCCGGUCCCUAUCAUCUGUCCGUGAAGGAUCUUCAUUUUUGUUAUUUCUCAGAUCUGCGUCUGUUGACGGCAGUCUCCUUGUUUAAAGUUAUCGAACAAUAAACUGUACUGCAUACCUCUGCUCUUGGGUCCU
Molecule: long non-coding RNA, 1832 nt
Organism: Cyprinus carpio (common carp)
Lineage: Eukaryota; Metazoa; Chordata; Actinopteri; Cypriniformes; Cyprinidae
Source: Ensembl